GGAGAGGUGGCCGAGCGGCUUAAGGCAACGGUUUGCUAAACCGUCGUAGGGGUAUAAGCCCCUACCGCGGGUUCGAAUCCCGCCCUCUCCG
Phycisphaerae bacterium SM23_30 is the source of this 91-nucleotide non-coding RNA. The record is from Rfam. NCBI's taxonomy places the organism in Bacteria, Pseudomonadati, Planctomycetota, Phycisphaerae.